CAGCCGCCGCGGUAAUACGUAGGGUGCGAGCGUUAAUCGGAUUUACUGGGCGUAAAGCGUGCGCAGGCGGCCCGUUAAGACAGGUGUGAAAUCCCUGGGCUCAACCUAGGAAUUGCGCUUGUGACUGGCGGGCUCGAGUACGGUAGAGGGGGGUGGAAUUCCUGGUGUAGCAGUGAAAUGCGUAGAGAUCAGGAGGAACACCGAUGGCGAAGGCAGCCCCCUGGGCCUGUACUGACGCUCAUGCACGAAAGCGUGGGGGGCAAACAGGAUUAGAUGCCCUGGUAGUCCACGCCCUAAACGAUGGGUACUAGCCGUUUGGUGCGCGAUAGCGCUGAGUGGCGAAGCUAACGCGUGAAGUACCCCGCCUGGGGAGUACGGCCGCAAGGUUGAAACUUAAAGGAAUUGGCGGG
Molecule: ribosomal RNA, 410 nt
Filed under: uncultured microorganism
Description: bacterial SSU rRNA
Rfam family: Bacterial small subunit ribosomal RNA
Source: RNAcentral